UUAAUUCAAAUUUGUACGGAGUUCGAACGUUUAAGUACUUACGUUUGCCGCUAGGGGCGCUGUUCCGACUGCAUACAAAUUUGAGUUA
Molecule: microRNA precursor, 88 nt
Filed under: Bombyx mori (domestic silkworm)
Lineage: Eukaryota; Metazoa; Arthropoda; Insecta; Lepidoptera; Bombycidae
Description: mir-2807 microRNA precursor family
Rfam family: mir-2807 microRNA precursor family
Source: Rfam by way of RNAcentral